Molecule: ribosomal RNA, 468 nt
Filed under: uncultured bacterium
Lineage: Bacteria
Description: partial 16S ribosomal RNA
Rfam family: Bacterial small subunit ribosomal RNA
Source: RNAcentral
GACGAACGCUGGCGGCGUGCUUAACACAUGCAAGUCGAACGGAAAGGCCCUGCUUUUGUGGGGAGCUCGAGUGGCGAACGGGUGAGUAACACGUGAGUAACCUGCCCUUGACUUUGGGAUAACUUCAGGAAACUGGGGCUAAUACCGGAUAGGAGCUCCUGCUGCAUGGUGGGGGUUGGAAAGUUUCGGCGGUUGGGGAUGGACUCGCGGCUUAUCAGCUUGUUGGUGGGGUAGUGGCUUACCAAGGCUUUGACGGGUAGCCGGCCUGAGAGGGUGAACGGCCACAAUGGGACUGAGAGACGGCCCAGACGCCUACGGGAGGCAGCAGUGGGGAAUAUUGCACAAUGGGCGGAAGCCUGAUGCAGCAACGCCGCGGGCGGGAUGACGGCCUUCGGGUUGUAAACCGCUUUCGCCUGUGACGAAGCGUGAGUGACGGUAAUGGGUAAAGAAGCACCGGCUAACUACGUG